UCCCAAGUGGCUCAGUGGUGAAGAUUCUGCCUGCCAAGCAGGAGACACAGGUUUGAUCCUUGGGUUGGGAA
Transfer RNA from Ovis aries (sheep), 71 nucleotides. It matches the Rfam family "tRNA". From Rfam's summary of the family: Transfer RNA (tRNA) molecules are approximately 80 nucleotides in length. Their secondary structure includes four short double-helical elements and three loops (D, anti-codon, and T loops). Further hydrogen bonds mediate the characteristic L-shaped molecular structure. tRNAs have two regions of fundamental functional importance: the anti-codon, which is responsible for specific mRNA codon recognition, and the 3' end, to which the tRNAs corresponding amino acid is attached (by aminoacyl-tRNA synthetases). tRNAs cope with the degeneracy of the genetic code in two manners: having more than one tRNA (with a specific anti-codon) for a particular amino acid; and 'wobble' base-pairing, i.e. permitting non-standard base-pairing at the 3rd anti-codon position. NCBI's taxonomy places the organism in Eukaryota, Metazoa, Chordata, Mammalia, Artiodactyla, Bovidae. The record is from Rfam.